GGUUUCUGUAUAUUCGUUAUCAGAUUUGUUUUUUGGACUUUAUAUGCCUUUAUGUUCUGUUUGGUCGCUGAGAAAAUGUGGAAAAGAAGGAAAAUUUAGUUCUAUUGAUGGUAAAGUUUUCGUCUUUUUUUGGGUGGUUGGGGGUGGGGGAUAUUGUUUGACUUAAUUGAGGAAACCAGGAUUCAAUAGAAUAUGAUAGAGGAAACCAGAAUACAAUAGAGUAUGAUAUUAAAAGAAUUUAAAAUUUCAAUUUUUGUCUGGCUUUCUUGGCAUCCAAACUGAGCCUAAUUAAUUUCAGGUGGGUUCUGUUUGUUCUGGUUCUGGAUUAUGUUUGUUUGUUGUACCAGGUGUUUGUCUUUUCUAUUUAUGUUUAUAUCUACUGCUGGAUUGGAUUUUUUGUGCUCAGAGCUGUGUUUGGCUAAGAAGACAACUAGGUGUCAUCUUUAAGGCACUGUCUCAGUUUCCAUGAGCGGGCAACUCAUGACUUGUACGGUUGACUUUGCAUUAAAUUCUUUCAGAAAGUGCCCAAUAUUGCUUUGAAAUAGUCUCCAUCUUUGUUUUGUUUGAAGCAUACUAAACAGAAUGUCUUUUUUUUUUUUUUUUCUUUUUCUGUUUCAAUUUUUAGCUGUCAUGAAUUAUUUUAUUGUGGGAAGGUGCUGCUCUAAUAUGAUGUACAUCUUGCUUUUGUUUGCAACUCAUUGCUUUUUUGUCCUUAUUUGGGAUCUCCAUGGAAAUGACUGUGUUUAUAGUUUCAAAAAGCAUUUUAAGCUUAAUAGUUUAUCAUUGGAGAGCAGGCUACUACCCCUUUGCAGAAUCCUUAAAAAUCAUUAGGAUUAUUUGUGGUGGUGGCUUCUCAAAAUUUACCACUAUGAUGUCAAACUUUAGUGCCAAAUUUGCCACUAUGUUUUUAGUUUCAGAAAGCAUUUUAAGCUUAACAGUUUAUGAUUGGAGAGCAGGUUACAAUCCCUUUGCAGAAUCCUUAAAACUCAUUAGGAUUAGUUGUGGUGAUGGCUUCUCAAAAUUUGCCACUAGAUGUCAAACUCUCCCUUCCCUCUCUCCCUUGUUGUCACCUAUGAAGCACGGGUGCGUUUUUGGAUUCGGGUGCGGUUGCCGAUGCGGGACUCGGCAAUUUUUGAAAAAGUUAGGGUGCGAGUGAGGCAGGGUGUGGCGAUUAAAAAAUUAUUAUUUAUAUUUUCUAUAUAUUGCUAAGCAUAAAUUAUAAAAUUAUGUUUUGAAAAUACAAUUUUAUGAUUUUACAAUUAUAAUUGAAAUUAUAUUUUUAAAAUACAACUUCACAAAAUAUAUGCAAGACUGUGUGUAACUAAUUAUAUACAACAAUAAUUAAUCUAUAUUAAAAUCUCAAUUGUUUUAUAGGGCACAACUUCACACGUGUUUCAUUCGUGCACUAAACUAAAUAAAGCCAUGGUGCUUCUACAGUUCUUAUACACACCUACUAGACUUCUUCCACUCUUUUUUGUUUCUCUCUCUCUCUCUCUCUCUACAAUCAACCCAUGGAAAACUACUCCUUCACUUCAUACCCUGACUCCGGCGAAUCCUUGCCGCAUUCACGCGAAAUCGACUUUGAGAAUCCGCCACCGUGGGACGAUCAGCCUCACCGGAACUACAAAGUGAAGUUCAUGUGUAGCUAUGGCGGCAAGAUCCACCCUCGUCCUCACGACAAUCAGAACUACUACUUCUUUUUUUUUUUUUUUUAAUAACUUGAAUUUCAGCUUGAAUUGGCGCCAGUACGACUUGACUUGGUGUGUUUCAGCAUUUUGGGCCGAUAUGGACCGAUUUGGCCCGAGUUGGUGCGAAUCAGGAAACGAAAAAAUAAUAAUAAUAAAAAAAUAAACUGGGCACAGCACCGACGCUCGGGCAGCGGCGACACACGAUCGGGCCGCGUCAGACGCGGGUGUGGCGCCCAUUUUGCCACGUCCGUGCAUCCUAGGUCGUCACCCCUCCAUCUCCCCAACCCUCGGCCCCAAGUCAAUUUUAUUCUUUAUGUGCUUUAUGUAAUUGUGCGAGCGACGCCGCGUUGGGCCGCGUCAAACGCAGGUGCAGCGCCCAUUUUGCUGCAUCCAUGCAUUCCAGGUCAUCACCCCUCCAUCUCCCCAACCCCCAGCCCCAAGUCAAUUUUAUUCUUCAUUUGCUUUAUGUAAUUGUUAGUAGGUAUGUCCCUUGUUUAUUACGUUUCUUUUCAGACAGUUACACAUUAAUCUGAAUUCAGUACA
Quercus lobata is the source of this 2231-nucleotide long non-coding RNA. RefSeq lists it as uncharacterized. The record is from RefSeq and is a predicted model, not a curated record. The transcript has 2 exons. Lineage: Eukaryota; Viridiplantae; Streptophyta; Magnoliopsida; Fagales; Fagaceae.